AGACGGAGGGCGCAAGCGUUGUUCGGAAUCACUGGGCAUAAAGAGCACGUAGGCGGUCUACUAAGUCGAAUGUGAAAGCCCUCGGCUCAACCGGGGAACUGCAUCCGAAACUGGUAGACUGGAGGAAGGCAGGGGUGAGUGGAACUCCAGGUGGAACGGUGAAAUGUGUAGAUAUCUGGAGGAACACCGGUGGCGAAAGCGGCUCACUGGGCCUUUCCUGACGCUGAGGUGCGAAAGCUAGGGUAGCAAACGGCAGUAGAAACCCCGGUAGUCC
Molecule: ribosomal RNA, 274 nt
Filed under: uncultured bacterium
Lineage: Bacteria
Description: partial 16S ribosomal RNA
Rfam family: Bacterial small subunit ribosomal RNA
Source: RNAcentral